RNAcentral lists this ribosomal RNA (451 nucleotides) under uncultured bacterium. RNAcentral describes it as "partial 16S ribosomal RNA". It matches the Rfam family "Bacterial small subunit ribosomal RNA", at positions 354 to 796 of the family's 1533-position model. The record is from RNAcentral.
GUGGGGAAUAUUGGACAUUGGGGGGAACCCUGAUCCAGCCAUGCCGCGUGUGUGAAGAAGGCCUUUUGGUUGUAAAGCACUUUAAGCGAGGAGGAGGCUACCGAGAUUAAUACUCUUGGAUAGUGGACGUUACUCGCAGAAUAAGCACCGGCUAACUCUGUGCCAGCAGCCGCGGUAAUACAGAGGGUGCAAGCGUUAAUCGGAUUUACUGGGCGUAAAGCGCGCGUAGGUGGCCAAUUAAGUCAAAUGUGAAAUCCCCGAGCUUAACUUGGGAAUUGCAUUCGAUACUGGUUGGCUAGAGUAUGGGAGAGGAUGGUAGAAUUCCAGGUGUAGCGGUGAAAUGCGUAGAGAUCUGGAGGAAUACCGAUGGCGAAGGCAGCCAUCUGGCCUAAUACUGACACUGAGGUGCGAAAGCAUGGGGAGCAAACAGGAUUAGAAACCCCUGUAGUCC